ACGAAUAGACGCACGUCCAUAAAGACGCAGGCAUAGCACUAUAUUAUGUGCAGAGAAAGAAAUAACGCGCAAUUUUAACUCAUAUGUGUUGUAGGAUGAUUGAUGCUUGCGUUCUUGCCACUCAUGCCCUUGCGGCUACGUUGGAGCGCAAACAUUCUCCCUGAAGCCUUGUACCUGCUUCAAAAUUUCUUGUUCUCGUUCAUACAUUCGUGCUGUGCAUUGCCGGCUUGACAUUCCACCAUUUUCGAACAGAGAGACGAGUUUCUCAUUUGUGCAUCGAAGCAAAGUGACGCAGGCGUAGAGGGACCUGGAAUUCGUACCUCGUCUGCCACUUCAAUGCGCGGUUGCAACGUGUGCACAGGUGCGCAUGACUGCACUCGUAAAGUAACAAUCCUAAUCCAACAAGCGUUAAACUACUGUGCAGUGUUUGCGUAGCGAACCCUCAGCUGAUCUGCGUGUAUAUCAUUUUAUAAAGAUAACUGGAAGAAUGAAGCGAGCAUUACCGCGGACCAGUCAAUGUCGGCAAUGUAUCGCUUGAUCUGUCUAUAGGCAAGACGCGGUAGGACUCACGCAGGCUGUAAAACUACCGUAAGACUGUCGCUGGCACAGUAUGCAUAAAGCGCAAUAACUAAAUUGCAAGGGUGAACGGUUAUCGUAUUAGCUCGCGAAAGCAGUCAGAUAUGGUUUUUGUUUACUUCUGGCGUUAAACAUACAGCUUUGUGAACACAGGCAGGGAUAACUAGACAAAAAAUUUUCGCACACAAAACGCUGCUUUAGGGCUGCUUUUCACGCCGUCGAUGUAAAUGACUUCGGUCGCGCGACACCAGGAAGGUUUUUUUUUCUCGACACGGCGGCUUAUUCAAGCGGCCUAAGUAACAACUUGCAGAGAGCACCACACCGUAUAAAAGUUCAUGGUACCCACUCAAAGAGGUCAAAUUAAUAGAAUAGCAAAUAAAAAGCACGGUCACUUCUCUUAAUAACACCGUCGCGGUAAAACUGAAACCACAGCUCAUGUGGCUUGCUUCGAAGUCGCGAAGUUUUUAUGCAAAGGCCUUAAACAGUCACAGACGUCGACGUGCACGCUUUUAUGCCGCAACACACAAGAUGAUCAGCGAAGCUGGCUUCGAAUCCCGGGUUCUGCUCGCCCAAUAUGAGCCAUUACGCAGGCUAACCACAGCGGGCGUGUAAAUUGAAGAGGCAUUUCAGCAUGACGACGCGAAACAACAUGCCACUGAGCAAGACGACCGCAGCACUGCACCGACUGCUCUAGUUCUUAAUCUCUCGGACAGCCAUGUUGGAUUUAAGGUGGCGCCCCCUAUAGGCCGUGAAAGUUGCGAAGUGUUGUGUCGACCGUAUGCUUCUUUUAUAUAUAUUUGUAUGUAUUGUGCCAUUUGGUGCCUUGGAGUGUAAUUAGUGGCGGAAAAAAUCUUCCGAUUCGCUCCGUCCGUUUCAUUCGAUAUGUGUGUUCGCGCGGUGAUUCGCGCACGGCGUUAUUUCGCUGCCGCAACACCGUUCCGCAACGAUUGUCACCGCCGGUAACGUGCGCUCCCGUGAAAGUGUUAGUGCCAAGCGGAGCCCAUCAACACAUCCCAGCGACUUGCUGCGUUCCUCGCAUUUCUGUGCACACCGUACCUUCAGGAAAUGCCAGCGUUACACCACGGCACAGCUGGGCCCUCUACAAGCUUGGAAACUUGCAUCACUGAAGACGGAGCUUCAAGAGAGAAAAAAGGGCACCACUGCAGCCUUUGCCCCUAUGUCGCGAGGAAUUCACCAACUUUGAGACAACACCUGCUGACUCAUACUGGAGAGAGGCCCUUUGAGUGCACCAUCUGCUUGGCUAGGUUUGCACAAGUGACAACACUUUCAAAUCACAUGCGCAGACACAGUGGAGAAAAACCGUACCAGUGUGCUGUCUGCCCGUAUAGAUCAGCUAACAGGAGUUCCAUGUUGUACCACAUCAAAAACCACACUGGUGACAAGCCCUUUGCAUGUAACGAGUGCUCUUAUGUCACCGCAAACAGAACGGAUCUGGUAAAACAUAUUCGCGUCCAUACAGGUGAAAAGCCAUACAAGUGUAAGGAGUGCCCAUACGCUUGCGCCCAAAAAACACACCUGUACCGGCACAUGUGGCGGCAUACUAAACUGCAGGAUCAAUUUCAGGGCCGUACUUCAUCUGGAAUGUGACGGAGUACAGCAAUGGGAGUGAGAAGAAAUCAAAUUUCCCAUCAGUCAUUAAAGGUGCCCCAGAACACUUUUUGACUGGGGUAAAUAAAUAAACCUGCUUCUUUGCUGGGCAGUGCUGUCCUCAUGAACAUCUCAACCUGAUAAUAUUUCUUCAUGUACACCCGUCAUGCUGGCUCAGUAGCUAUGGCGUUCUGCUACCAAGCGCGAGUUUGCAAGUUUGGCUCCAGGGGCAGAAUGCAAAAGUGCUCAUGCAGUGUGCUUUUAGUGCACUUUUGCCCCUUCCGUGCUAUGCUAUUAUCCCAAAUUUCAACCAAAAAUAGCCAAAUUAUUUUUAAGGGCCCCAGUUGCCAAAAUUUCUUUACCUCCACAGAAUAAAUUCAUUCCUGCUUGCACAGUCCCAUGGCUCUUGUGCUGCCAUCUAUCGAAAGCAUUACUAAGCACUGAGACAAAACUAGGCUCAUCCAUGGCAUUGCUAGAAAAUGCAAGGUACUGCUGACAAGCCAGGCUCAUCCUUUGCUGUUUUUACCAGAAAUGCCUGGACAAACCCACCUCGUCUAAGGCGCAGAAAGGUCUAAAGAUUAAUGGUGAAGAUUAAUCCCUCGUAGCCAACUGUGCAGAUUCGGGACGUUAAAGCCCAUAAUUUAGUUUUCAACCUUCUGCUUUUAGCAGGCCUCAAUUUUGUUCAAGAGAAAGGCUACUCUUCUUUUUCCUUCAGCUUCUUAAUAUUCCUGUUCCAUUUCACACACAUAGCUAAACAUUUAUGGACAUGACGGCCGUGUUUAGGUAGGAUGGACGAAGCAGUGCCUUCAGCAGAUGCAAAACAGACCUCCUCACUGACAUGGCAGUGGCGCCACCUAAUGGUGGAGAGCAACGUCACUGCGCUGACACUAACUCGGGACUCUAUUUGCCAUUAUUGCCUCCGAGACAAGGCACUGUGACAGUGUCACACCACCUAAUCUUAAAGCCUUACUAAUGCAAUAUACUCAGCAUGAUCGGUAGAGUAUAGGGACGAAUUGUUCUUCACGAGAAUACCAGCAAGAGGCUUGAGCACACUUCUCAACAAGAAAAAUAAUGCGAGGGUGUAAGAAUGUGGCAGUAGCUGCUUCUCAUUGAAAGGUGCAUUGAAAGACCUUUUAUUUGAAAGCAUACAGAUGCUGAUGCAUUCCACACCUUUCAUAAAAGUUGUUACAAAGCUCAUAUAAAUGGGUCCCUGUGACCCCUGAAGCACUGCU
This is a long non-coding RNA of Dermacentor albipictus, 3416 nucleotides long. RefSeq lists it as uncharacterized. NCBI's taxonomy places the organism in Eukaryota, Metazoa, Arthropoda, Arachnida, Ixodida, Ixodidae. The record is from RefSeq and is a predicted model, not a curated record.